RNAcentral lists this long non-coding RNA (5876 nucleotides) under Coffea arabica (coffee). Its description in RNAcentral is "long non-coding RNA (CARA_LNC004441)". The record is from RNAcentral. Lineage: Eukaryota; Viridiplantae; Streptophyta; Magnoliopsida; Gentianales; Rubiaceae.
UUUUUUUUUUUUUUUUUGUGUUGUCAUUUUGAGCUUUAUAAGAUGGAUUUUAUCCUCGAAUCGACUAGAUUGGUAUCCGACCACUUAGAUGAAAGGUGAAUACAUAAGGAAAUAGAGAUUGAGGCUUUUCAAAUUGCAGCUCAAAAUUAAGCAGCCAAAUAUACUGUAUAUGUGCAUUCAGAGAUUGCUUCUUUGGCUUACAUAUGCUUUUCUUGUCUUGCAUUAUUUGGAUAUCAUUAGACCCUCAUCUUCCCGGGGCGCACUUGGAUAUUUGGCAUGUAUAGGAAUUAAAUCUCUAGAAACACAUGAGACUCGCGACUUCGCUACAAGCUACUUUGGCUUUACGCGAGAAAUUGGAAUCACAUUAGUGAUGAGUUGAUCCCAGACAGAUAUUCUUCAGUUCUAGGAUUGUUUAGGAUUAUGCAUCUGUAUUCUGCAAAUGAGUCAACAUUCAAUUACCGCUUGCUGAAAAGCUCACUUGGUAAAAUUUGAAGAUAAAACUUAGCUUCACAUAUAUCAGGACAUAGGGUGACAAAAUGCAAAAUUGACUUGAUGAAGCCACGAGAUAACAACCAACAAUUACGGUAGUUUUCUACCCUUGUUUUUUCUCCUGGAACUCGCAUAUAAACAAUUCAAUCAGUGAAAUCAGAUGAUCUCAGUUACCAUGUAACUCGCGGGAGACGGGAUUAUUAGCUAGGACCCACUCUAUUAAUUUGUCUAAACCUCGUUUCCACCUUGAGGAGAGAUUGCAGAAUGAAUAUAAAUGAGGCUACAGUAAUUGUGUCCCGGUGGCCAACUAAAAACCAAAAGAGUAGCUGCAUGAAACUGCCAAACUAGACCACCCACCACUCUACCUUCCAUCUCUAACAUUGCAAAGUUCUUUCAUUAUUUGAGCUAAUCUGCUUCUCACAGAUACUCAUGUAACUUUCAGUUAUUCUUAUCCCGGAUCGAUCGACGUCAAUUUUCAGCUCACUCUUUAUGCCCGAAGCUGGGAGAUUUGAAUUAGGGUCGUACAUAUUUUUGAUGGAGCAAGCACGAUAUUGGAUGUGGACAAAGAGGAAACAUGAUUUCGGUUCACAUGUAUUUUCAGCAUCAUUACCGAAUCCCAGCUCGUAUGGUGAAUCAUGGGAAGAGCAAGCUUUUGCCGAAGAUGCAGCUGGAGGGCUCGGAGGUUGCACAUGGCCUCCAAGAUCUUACACUUGUAGUUUUUGCAGGAGAGAAUUCAAGUCAGCUCAGGCUCUAGGGGGUCACAUGAAUGUCCACCGCAGAGAUAGGGCUAGGUUAAAGCAGUCUCCAACUCCACAUAUGGAAGUUCUUUCCCGCAAUCACCAGAUUCUGAACCCCUGUGCAUCUUUGGAUUCACCUCAGAUAUGUACUUUCUUGUACAGCCAUGAUUCUAAUGACUCUGAUCAUCGAGUUGUUCUUGCAUCACCUUCAUCGCCUAUUAGGGUUUCAUCAUCUUCACCACCGCCAAAGAUCAUGGAUUGUGAAGAAAAGAUAUUGGGCGCCCCUCAAUUCUUUUCUACUAUCGUCGAUGAAAGUUACCAAAAGAGUAACCUGUCGUCUCCUCAAUCCUGGUCAAACUUGGUUGCAGACAAAUAUUUCCAUGUCCCAGAUUCGAAGAAUGGAGACAAGGGUUCCAAAACGGUUAAGUCAAAUGGUAGGGCUAAUGGAGAACAUGUCAAAGCCGAUUUGUCUGCGAGCUUGAAUUUGCUACUUUGUCGAACCCGUUCAAAUACAUCUGAUGACGCUGAAAACUUUCACACCUAUAAGAGACGGAAAAUGGAUGAAACUUCAGUCACUUUGUUGCCAACAUCAACUCUUGCUGAUAAAAAAUGUCUUCUUCAGUCAAAUUUGCCGCCUAAAAUGAGCCCCAACUCCAUAGACGAAUUAGAUCUUGAGCUGAGGCUUGGCGAUCCACCAAAGGUGAAGUAAGACUUGGAAUUCUUUUUCGUUAUAGCCAUAUGCAUAGAUUCUAUUCCAUUUUCAUAUUGCUCUGAUGUAUCAUGUUUCUUCCUUUCUCUUUGCGCAAGUAUGGUAUUCUAAUUAAUUUCUCUUCUGGCAAUUUACCGGGUGUAAUUGUCACUAUAUCAGCAGAUUAUAAGUUUCCAUCUUGUUUUCCGUUUUCGUUUUUUUCGAUCUCAUAAAUAUGAGAGGGAGGAUGUUUGUUUGGCCAUCUCGUGCAAUUCAGGCUUGAUCUGGUUCACUAAAUAUGAUGUAAUGAUUGCAGUGCUUGAAUUCAUCGGCCAUCACAAUGCUUAUACCUGUCAAGGGUCAUCGCUAUGCUUAUACCUGUCUAAGAAAUAGACAAAUAUCUUACCUGCAAGUAGAUUAGACUAAAACGUUAGAAGCCUUGGUGGAGUUUUGCAGCAGGAAGAUAGAAAGAGUCCCUACGAGUACAGUAGAAAUUGGUAAUUUUUGAUGCGGGUUAUGCAAAGGCAAUGAGUUCAAUAUAAACUGUCAUGCCAUUUGCAGUCAAGUCAUGAUUCAUGAACAUGGAUUUUCAUCCUCAUAACCUAGUAGCAAGUUAAUAAAUAUGUGUGGAUUCUGGAGUCGAGAAAUGUCACAGAUACACAUAAGACCAGAAAAAGAGACAAAGAGGGAUCGUGCCGGUUGAUGAUACUAUUGAACUUCAUUUGGGAUUUUUACGUGGAACAAAUUAGCAUGUGUUGUGUAUAGAGUACUGACUAAAGCUGCACGGAAUGCAGCAAAGAGAGCACCUUUUUCCAUUGAGUACCUCACUGACAUUCUGUUUUACAUAACUAAACUAGUCUAGAAGACAGGCAAAGUUAGGUUUUCAAGGACACAUAAGUCAGAUACAACACAACAUGGAUUCCCUUUUCCUUUGGAUGUAUUAUUGUCAAUUAUUCAUCAUCAUCAGAUGAUCAGAUCAGUAGUUGCAGUUAAGUAUCUUCUCCGCAUAAAUCCAUACACUUGUGUUCUCUUCCCUCACUUUUCUCUCUUUCUCAAUCCCUCCAAAAAUUGCCACCAACUACAAGGAAUCAAUCCAUUUAAGUAUUUAAACAAAUUCCCUUUUCUAUUCACUAAGGGAAUAUUAUUGCAUCAUCAGUCAUUGGCAUUAACAGCAUCGUCUUACACCUUAUCAGCAAGUAAGAAUAAAGAAUGAGAAUAAAGAAUGACCAAAGAAUGAGAAAUAAAGUACUAUAAACUGUGACCCCCUUAAACCAAACCCUAACCCUACCUAUAGUAUUAUCAUAGCCCCUGCCUGCCUUUAUCAUAGAGUUUCCAGCCUCCUCACGGUGUCUAAGGCUCAAAUCAUUGUGUAUUAACUAGCCCUAUUUAAUAUGUGCUAUCUAAGAGGAAAUCUGAUAGAGGAUUGGAUUGGGUUGGGUCGGGUGCAUUUUUUGAUAUGCUGGCCUGAAAUCCUGAGGAACCAUGUGCAAUCUGAAGGCAAUUUAAUUGAUAUCCUCAGACUAGGUUCUAAUUAAUGCUAGAUGCAUUAACUACGUACAGUUCGAAAGCACGUUAUUAAUGAGUCCAAGGAUCUAUGAUCACUUUCCGAUGUGGGAGUUUCAUUUGUUAAUGGUAAGGGACAGAGAACGGUAUGUGUAAUGUGGCAAGAGGGGCUUGUAUCAGUUGUAUGGUUAAUAGUACUAGUAUUACUAUGUUUUUCGAAGAAAACUCAAAUGUUUGCUUUAAUGGGAGGUAAGGCGAUUGGCUAGGGUUUGUCUUGAUUAUGGUGUACAGAGUACUGGAGUUGGGCGGGUUUGAUAGUGAAGUAUAGUAGUAGAAAAUAGGAGUGCCAGAAAGUGCACAUGGAUUAUCAGGUGUCCGUUUCUGUGUUUUCCCUGUGAGUGAAUGGGGGAUUUAGUAAAAGGAAUGCCAGAUUAUUCCAAGCUAGCUAGUCUGUAUUUCUCUGUUUAGAGAAUUUUUGUAGUUCCGAGAUAUACAUUAAUUAUGAAGAUUUCAGAAAAUAAUGAUUCCGUGCUAAAUGUCUCUUUCUUCCCAAUUGCUAUAUCAAAAAAAAUUAACUAAGGCUCUCUCUUAAAAACAAAACUAAAGUUGUGACAUUAAUUUAUAUUAUUCCUUUUUUUUUUGGGCAGAAGGCUAUUAAUUAGUGCAUGGAAACAGGGAGAGGGUUUUUCCCAGGAAAUCAGUGGCCAUAUAUUACGAAUGGUCUCUCUGUGUUUGUGCAUGUGUGAAAUUUUGUGCACGACAUAUUAUUGAUAAAAUUAAAUUAUCAUCGUAAGAUCGGCUGAACCGAGAACUUUCCAUAUCCCUUUUUAAUUAUUUUUUUUUUUGGGGUUUCGGUAAGCGGAGCUAUUAAUUUGCUAUAGCUAAUUAGCUGUUAAUCCAAUACCAUGACAUGUUAGGCAAUUGUGAGGUUUGAUAUUCUUUUGGGAUAAUUUUAGAAACCUCCCCUAAAGUUUCUGACAAUUUCAUUGAGCUUCCCUGAGGUUUGAAAAAUUACACUUACUGCCCUUGAUUUAAUAGUUUUAUAAUCUAAAUCUUAAAAUAUGAUUGACUUGGUCAAAUUUUUAAAUGAAUACCCAAAAAUACCCUUGUGUAAUGAGUUUUAAUUUAUUUUUCUACACAAUUAUAAGAUUAUCUAGUAUAAUAUAAGCAAAAGGUACCAAAUUUUUCAUGUCCAUACUUACUAUUUGAUAAAUAACUGUAAUAAUAAUUUUAUCACUAAAAUAGGAUACUUUUGAUGGUAUUUUAUUAUGGAUUUAGAUUUAUAAGAUAGAAAAAAAUGUUGAAAUAAUUCAUUUAGAAUUUAUGAAUUUUUCAAAUAGUAGAAUUAUCAUAAUUUAGUAGUGGUUUUGGGCCUUUUUUAUUUAUUAUUAAUUUUAAUACCAAAAAAUAGAAAACAAAGAUCAACAAAAAUAUUGAAUUACAUAUAAGUUGACUCAUAAAAAAAUCACUAGUUUGGCAUUUAGUUACAAUAGAAACUAAAGGUAAUAAUGCUAGUUAUACAGUUUUAUUGGCAAAAAUUUUUUAAAAAAGGAAUAAGAAUGAAAAAAUAAUUUUAAAAGUCAUUUUAAAUAUAAACAUACCAAAUAAGGGAAUUUCAUUGAAAUAUUUAAGGGUAGUAUUAUCACUUUAAAUGACAAGGGAGUUAUGUCUAAUUUUCAAAACCUUGGGGGAGCUAAAUGAAAUUGUUAAAAACCUCAAGGGAGGUUUCUGAAAUUAUCGCUAUUCUUUUGGCAGACACUUAGUAGCUUCUUAUAAAAGCUCACCCUUCGGAGCAUAAACCACCGAGAAGAUUUCAGUCAGUAUUAUCUUUCAGGGUAAAUUCCGAGGAAUCUGGUCUUAUUCAUUAUGGUAAGGUAUAUAUCCCGGCUUAUAUUAAAGAAUUGCGAAGAAAUAGGGAAUGACAAAGUUAUACUGUUCAGAGAUUUCAGCAAAUGGUAGGCUAAUUUAUAAGAACGGAAAAAAUGCCGACAAAUUAAGUUAUAAGUGUCAUAAGUUGCUGACUUCUUGUGGUUUCAAAGUGGAAUUUAUUCACCAAACGAAACAGAAAAAUUAAACUGUGCUUGAUCUUAUUCAGGCUACUGCUUUUAGCAACAGGGGAAUGCCACUGCCUGUAUUCUUGCAUACCUAAGACUAAGAGUCCAAUGCAAUACUGGCCACUUAGUUUCAGUUCUUCCAGCAAUAAUAAAAUAAGAGGAGGACAGUAACCGGCAAAACUGUACUUCGAAAGGCAUAAAUUUUUCGACUAAGUUGUACAAUAAGCAACACCAGCAGAGUCAAUCAUACAAAACGAAUCACAGUUCCAGUAGUAAAAUUCUCAAGCGUAUCAACUGUGGCAGAUUGUGCACUAGAUGGGAACAGGUAAAUUUUCGCCACCAACUGCCAGAGGAAAGUCUGAAUCUCAUCAAACAACUUGAUCAACGAGAGCCUUAAGGACAGUC